AUGAAUGCACUGGACUUCUUGAGAUCGAAGCCACCAACGGCAUAUGCCAAGGGCGUCCAUGGACAACCUGCCCAAGGUCUGGAUUCACCGAGGAGGUACAACCGGACACUUGGUCGGCUGCCUGCUGAAAGGGGGAGGAGUGAAAAACAAACUGAGGCGGGCGGAGGUAAGCGGCGGUGCAGUCCCCCCGUGGCUUCUUCGUGGCGAGGGCUCAAGGAUUGGGAAGGAGAAGAGGAGGCGGCGGAUUGGGGAGGAGGAGGCGGGGAUUGGGAGAAGAGGAGGCAGGGGAUUGGAGAGGGGGCUCUUGUUGAAUAUACUGUUUUGCGCAGAUUGAGAUGCAUCACAUGA
This 348-nucleotide ribosomal RNA is filed under the name Triticum aestivum (bread wheat). RNAcentral describes it as "partial small subunit ribosomal RNA". Lineage: Eukaryota; Viridiplantae; Streptophyta; Magnoliopsida; Poales; Poaceae. The record is from RNAcentral.